Molecule: transfer RNA, 74 nt
Filed under: Rasbora paucisqualis
Lineage: Eukaryota; Metazoa; Chordata; Actinopteri; Cypriniformes; Danionidae
Description: tRNA-Lys
Source: RNAcentral
CACUAGAAAGCUAAAAUCGAAUAAGCAUUGGCCUUUUAAGCCAAACCUUGGUGAUUAACGACCACCUCCAGUGA